GAUGAACGCUGGCGGCGUGCCUAAUACAUACAAGUAGAACGCUGAAGCUUGGUGCUUGCACCGAGCGGAUGAGUUGCGAACGGGUGAGUAACGCGUAGGUAACCUGCCUGGUAGCGGGGGAUAACUAUUGGAAACGAUAGCUAAUACCGCAUGACAACAGUUAUUGCAUGAUAACUGUUUAAAAGGGGCAAUUGCUCCACUACCAGAUGGACCUGCGUUGUAUUAGCUAGUUGGUGAGGUAACGGCUCACCAAGGCGACGAUACAUAGCCGACCUGAGAGGGUGAUCGGCCACACUGGGACUGAGACACGGCCCAGACUCCUACGGGAGGCAGCAGUAGGGAAUCUUCGGCAAUGGACGGAAGUCUGACCGAGCAACGCCGCGUGAGUGAAGAAGGUUUUCGGAUCGUAAAGCUCUGUUGUAAGAGAAGAACGAGUGUGAGAGUGGAAAGUUCACACUG
This 459-nucleotide ribosomal RNA is filed under the name Streptococcus sp. oral taxon 074. RNAcentral describes it as "bacterial SSU rRNA". It matches the Rfam family "Bacterial small subunit ribosomal RNA", at positions 28 to 471 of the family's 1533-position model. The record is from RNAcentral. Lineage: Bacteria; Bacillati; Bacillota; Bacilli; Lactobacillales; Streptococcaceae.